Molecule: RNA transcript, 5110 nt
Organism: Mus musculus (house mouse)
Lineage: Eukaryota; Metazoa; Chordata; Mammalia; Rodentia; Muridae
Gene: Pou4f1
Gene name: POU domain, class 4, transcription factor 1
Exons: 3
Source: RefSeq, marked validated
CAGCUGCUGUCUGUCAGCGCGGCGGGGCCCGCGAGCUCUCGCGAGAGCUGCCCGGGCCGGCCGCGAGAAGUGGGGCUCAGGUGUAAGAGGAGCGCAGCCCGUCGGCGCGCCGGGGCUAGAGCUCUCGGAGAAGCGGGAUCGCGGGACCUGCGCGCGGGCCGGCGGGCGGGCGCUCUGCGCGGUCGGUCCGAGGCAGCGGGCUGCGCUCGCCGGCGCAGCAGCGGCAGCAGCAGCAGCAGCAGCCCCCGCGGCGAGCCUCCGAGCGGAGCCGCCGAGCAGUGCGAGCGAGCGCAGCCUCGGGACGGAGGCCGGGCGAGCCGGCGUGCGCACUUUGCCGCGGACUUUGCGAGUGUUUUGUGGAUUUUUACAUGCCAAGGCGCCAAGAUGAUGUCCAUGAACAGCAAGCAGCCUCACUUUGCCAUGCAUCCCACCCUCCCUGAGCACAAGUACCCGUCGCUGCACUCCAGCUCCGAGGCCAUCCGGCGGGCCUGCCUGCCCACGCCGCCGCUGCAGAGCAACCUCUUCGCCAGCCUGGACGAGACGCUGCUGGCGCGGGCCGAGGCGCUGGCGGCCGUGGACAUCGCGGUGUCCCAGGGCAAGAGCCACCCUUUCAAGCCGGACGCCACGUACCACACGAUGAAUAGCGUGCCCUGCACGUCCACGUCCACCGUGCCGCUGGCGCACCACCACCACCACCACCACCACCACCAGGCGCUCGAGCCCGGUGACCUGCUGGACCACAUCUCGUCGCCGUCGCUCGCGCUCAUGGCCGGCGCAGGGGGCGCAGGCGCGGCGGGAGGCGGCGGCGGCGCCCACGACGGCCCCGGGGGCGGAGGCGGACCGGGGGGCGGCGGUGGCCCGGGCGGCGGCGGCCCCGGGGGUGGCGGCGGCGGCGGCGGCCCGGGGGGCGGCGGCGGCGGCCCGGGCGGCGGGCUCUUGGGCGGCUCGGCGCAUCCGCACCCGCACAUGCACGGCCUGGGCCACCUGUCGCACCCCGCGGCGGCGGCGGCCAUGAACAUGCCGUCCGGGCUGCCGCAUCCCGGGCUCGUGGCCGCGGCGGCGCACCACGGCGCGGCGGCGGCAGCGGCGGCGGCGGCGGCGGGGCAGGUGGCGGCGGCGUCGGCCGCGGCGGCGGUGGUGGGCGCGGCGGGCCUGGCGUCCAUCUGCGACUCGGACACGGACCCGCGCGAGCUCGAGGCGUUCGCCGAGCGCUUCAAGCAGCGGCGCAUCAAGCUGGGCGUGACGCAGGCCGACGUGGGCUCGGCGCUGGCCAACCUCAAGAUCCCGGGCGUGGGCUCGCUCAGCCAGAGCACCAUCUGCAGGUUCGAGUCGCUCACGCUCUCGCACAACAACAUGAUCGCGCUCAAGCCCAUCCUGCAGGCGUGGCUGGAGGAGGCCGAGGGCGCGCAGCGUGAGAAAAUGAACAAGCCGGAGCUCUUCAACGGCGGCGAGAAGAAGCGCAAGCGGACUUCCAUCGCCGCGCCCGAGAAGCGCUCCCUCGAGGCCUAUUUUGCCGUACAACCCCGGCCCUCGUCUGAGAAGAUCGCCGCCAUCGCCGAGAAACUGGACCUCAAAAAGAACGUGGUGCGGGUGUGGUUUUGCAACCAGAGACAGAAGCAGAAGCGGAUGAAAUUCUCUGCCACUUACUGAGGAGGGUGUGAGACGCCGGGUGGGGCACACUGGGGAGCUGAGGGGUGCGUUUCUGGGGCUCCCUCUGGCCCACUUCCCCUCAUUUAGACUGUCCGUUAUCCUGCCUGCAUUUGGGGAGUUCCUUUUCUUGCCCUUCCCUCAGCUCCACUCUGCACCCGGCCCUAGCUGUCCCCCAGCCUAGAGAACAGGGGUGUGGGUGUGGAGAAAGUUUGGGAUGGCAGGAGAGAAUGGGGGACGUUUAGGUGAGCAGGGCCUGGGGGGUGGGGGAGAAACGCAAAGACUGGAGCUGGGGGGGUUUCGAGAAGCAGGAUGGUUCUGGGGAGCAGGGUGGGAGGGAAAGAUGGGUGAAGAACUGGGGAUCUUGACCAGAGACACUUACAAAAUCAUCUGGGGACCAAGGAACUAUGUACAAAGAUAAAACUACCAACCAUCACCAAAAACAAAACAUAAAACACUAGACAAAUAAGGGGGGGGGCAAAGAUGCUUUAGGAACUUAACUCCUGGGAGCAGUAUUCUGCAGCCUCGUUUACCCCCAAGGAAGAGAAAGCAGCAGUACCAUUACUACCACCGCCCCAACUUCCCAAGCACAAGUCCCUGUCUCCCUCCUUUGGAGAACCGUGAAGUUGUUGAAAAGCUGAGAAGUUUCUGCUCUCAUUUGGGGGCAGGAGUCCCAUGUAAGAAAAAUCACCUAAAAUCCCAGAAGAAAGGAAGAGAUUUAAAGAUUUAAAGCCCCUCCCACCUUGUUCGUUUCAAAUAGGUCUGCACUUACCUGGGGGAAGGGGAACAGUGUUUCCCUGUUGUUGUUGUUGUUCUUGUUGUUGUUAUUCAAGGAUCAUUUAUUACCGGGGAUAAAUGUUGAGUCACAAAAACUUCAAUUUGCACUAUGAGUUUCCAAAAUAGAAAAUCAUGUGUGAUAUUUCAUACUAAUAAUCCAAGCUGCUGACGGAUUUUAAGGAAAAAUUUUUUGAGAAAGACAGUUUGAGAAAGAAAGAGAGAGAGAGAGAAAUGUGGUUUAGUGAAAUGCCUGCUUUGUUGUGUAGAAGAUCCCCUUUGGAUCUCAUGUGGAGAUGGUCUGUUACUAUCAUUUAACCAUAACUAAAGAUGAAAACGGAAGAGAUAAGGGGGGAAGCACUGUUUAACAAGACUGAAAUCAUGCAUGGCUCGAAAGGUGCAGAAAGAAAUGUGAUUAGGUCUCACUCUGGGUAGGCGUUGUUAUUUAUUUAAUUAUGUUGUAUGUCAUUGUUUGCAGCACAAAACAUUCUAUGCAUUUGAAACUGAGCACUAAACUGGGCUAGCUUUCUGGUAGACCAUUUUUUUGUGGAUAGUGUGAUUUCACAGUCUACUGCCUGUUUCCACUGAAAACACAUUAUUGUAAAUAUUUUCUUUCAUGCACAGGCCCACACACAGUGGUUACAAACUGCCAGUGUUAAUCCUGAAAUGUCUCACUGACUGAUCCUCCUGUCCAUGUUGUGUCUGCAGAGCUCUCUCCUUGGUUAUGUCUUCGCUCUAUUGCCCCCACCCCCACCCCACCCCAUCAGAACCAUUUCUGUGCGCCAACAUACAACAGGGAGAUGUGUCCCAGUCCACUUCCAAAUAAAACAUGACUGAAAGAAGAGCAGUUUUAUGAUCUGGGUGCAUUUUUGUGUUUAUAUUGAGCCAAGUCCUGGUAGGGCCGGUCAACAAAUGAGAGAAAACAACAAAACAAAACAAAUAACCCACACCAAACAGAAAGCCUCAACCAAACUUUAAAAUCACGCAAGAGGGGGAGGCAGGGGAGGCAGUGGGAGUGAAAGGAUGAGUUUUAGGGUUUUGUUUUGGUGUUUGUUUGUUUGUUUGUUUGUUUUUCCUGAAUGAGAAUUCAGUUUCAGAUAGGUCAUGGGAACUGGUGCUCUGAGGAAGGUAACUUACUCGUCCAUUUUAUCAAAGUUUUAAUUUUAUCUGCAGAAGCUUUUAAGCCACUUCGUUGGUUUCAGAGUGGUGAUGGUAAGCUGUAAACAACCAGGCACCUGCAAAGUAUUUAAGUUGAAGGUCAGGGAUUCAGGCAUCGAGAGGUUUGAAUGUGCUGUUCUACUCGAAAAACACAUCUAAAAAAAAAAAAAAAAAACAAAAAACAAAAAACAAAAAACGUUGUAACUAAAGGACUUUUCGUUGGCAGUUAAUGAAUUAGAAAAGUAUCCUAUGAUCUGCCCCAACAACUUGUCAAAUGCUUCACUUCAUUUAGAACAUUCUGCAUACCACCUAUUGCUUCACAUUGACAAGAGGUGUUCUAUUUCUUUCUCUUUUUUCUUUUUCUUUUGGUGACCUGGAACUAGAUCAAAUGCCAAAUGUACAAACUUUCUUAAUAGUUGGGACUAUAUCCUCUGAAGUCAUCCUAUUUUAGCUAAAUCUUUUUAACUUCACCGGCAUAUCUGUGAAAGAAAAGUGUUCAGAAAAGAAUAGUACAUUUUAAAAAGGUGUGAUUUUAAAACAGUUGUUAAUAUUUUAAAAAGCACUAGAGGUAUUUUUAAAAAUAGAUCUCUUCCAUCAAAAUUGAUUUGUUUCUGUUAUUGACUUGAGAUAUCAUCAGAGUUUCUAAUAAAAUACAUUUGUAAAAGAACACAUUAUUUUAUAGAAAAGUAUGACCAGAUUUCAUUGUUGGAGAUCCAGGGAUGAACAAAUAAAAAGAUUUACAAAGGUUGUUUUUCUAAUAAUCUGCUCAAACAGAAAUGUUGCAGGCAAAUACAUUUGUAUUAUAUAAUAAUGGAUAAUGUAUGUAUUAAGAAUUUAAGCAUUUGUUUUGUACUAAGUAAAUCCUUGCCCAGUACAAAAAAAAAAAGACUAUUAUGUUAAUAAAACAUCAUGAAAACGCAUCGCUUUGCAGGGUUUCCUAUUUUAUGUAGUAGGAAACUGUGCAAAAUUAAAAAAAAAAAAAAGUUUUGCUUUCUAGUGAGUGGAUGUGUUCAGGCCAGGAAGGACUGAGCGAGCUCCUGUUAGACUCCUUUAGCUGUCAACUCACAGAAAAUGUUAAAAGGAGACUCCUCAAGAGAAGGCAAUGAUUUGCUGAUCUGUGGUAGUUAGGCUUUUUCAAGUUCUCUGGUUCAGAAAGUCGGGAAAAUUUCCUCCCACAGCUGCUAAUUUGUGGAAAUAAAAUGUGUGAGUCUGAACUCCUCUAAAGAACAGAAGUUUCAGAAGGUAGGGGAACUGGGCUCUGAUUCUGUGAUAGACUCUUUAGACACACAAGAGCAGAAUAAGAAAGGGAAAACGAAAAAUAUGCGUUGAGUGCACUCACCACAGAAAUGCUACCUUCCUCUCAAAACUGCUUUCUGAACUCUAUGGGAUUCUGCUUUUUCUGUAGGUCUAAGAAAGGAUGUCACCAGCAUCCAUCAGCUAGCUUCGGGAUAGACUUUUGUCUAAUUCGUGUUUUUAAAUUAUUCUCAACUUCAGUUAUAAGCUGUAUAAUAAACAGUAGGCACCCACUGCA